UCCUAUGGAAGUGGAACUUGAAACUUCCUGGUUCUUACAAUGUCUUCAUGCUUAUUUUUGCUUCUUCCUUAUCUUCACCUUGAUUACAAUUCUUCCACUUUUGUCUCUCUUGUUUAGUUUGUUACCCAGACCAAAGCUGUGGUGCACCUGUGAGAUUUGUCACACAUAUCUGAAUAUGAGUUGGUCAAAACAAUUCGACAAUCUUUGCGAUUGGUACACUCACCUGCUAAAGAACUCGCCAGGGAACACCAUCCAUAUCCAUGUUCUGGGCAAUACAAUCACAGCCAACCCUGACAACGUGGAGUACAUGCUCAAAACCAGAUUUGAGAAUUUCCCAAAAGGGAAACCUUUCUCCUUGAUCUUGGGUGAC
RNAcentral lists this long non-coding RNA (370 nucleotides) under Gossypium barbadense (sea-island cotton). RNAcentral describes it as "long non-coding RNA (GBAR_LNC019442)". The record is from RNAcentral. Lineage: Eukaryota; Viridiplantae; Streptophyta; Magnoliopsida; Malvales; Malvaceae.